AUUGAACGUGGCGGCACGCCUAAUACAUGCAAGUCGAACGAGAAAGCACUUCGGUGUGAGUACAGUGGCGGACGGGUGAGUAACGCGUAGGAAUCUACCUAGUAGUGGGGGACAACUCGAGGAAACUCGAGCUAAUACCGCAUACGCUCUUAGGAGGAAAGUGGGGGAUCUUCGGACCUCACGCUAUUAGAGGAGCCUGCGUUAGAUUAGCUUGUUGGUGAGGUAAAGGCUCACCAAGGCGACGAUCUAUAGCUGGUCUGAGAGGACGAUCAGCCACACUGGAACUGAGACACGGUCCAGACUCCUACGGGAGGCAGCAGUAGGGAAUCUUGGGCAAUGGGCGAAAGCCUGACCCAGCGAUGCCGCGUGUGCGAAGAAGGCCUUAGGGUUGUAAAGCACUUUCAGUCGUGAAGAAAAGCUACGAUUUAAUAUGUUGUGGUCUUGACGUUAGCGACAGAAGAAGUACCGGCUAACUCCGUGCCAGCAGCCGCGGUAAUACGGAGGGUACGAACGUUAAUCGGAAUUACUGGGCGUAAAGCGCGCGUAGGCGGUUUGAUAAGUGGGAUGUGAAAGCCCCGGGCUCAACCUGGGAACUGCAUUCCAAACUGUCAAACUAGAGUGUGGUAGAGGGCGGUAGAAUUUCCUGUGUAGCGGUGAAAUGCGUAGAUAUAGGAAGGAAUACCGAUGGCGAAGGCAGCCGCCUGGACCAACACUGACGCUGAG
This 723-nucleotide ribosomal RNA is filed under the name bacterium IMCC8607. RNAcentral's name for it is "bacterial SSU rRNA". It matches the Rfam family "Bacterial small subunit ribosomal RNA", at positions 28 to 750 of the family's 1533-position model. The record is from RNAcentral.